Molecule: transfer-messenger RNA, 403 nt
Filed under: Mycoplasmataceae bacterium
Lineage: Bacteria; Bacillati; Mycoplasmatota; Mollicutes; Mycoplasmatales; Mycoplasmataceae
Rfam family: transfer-messenger RNA
About the family: Bacterial tmRNA, also known as 10Sa RNA or SsrA, is named for its dual tRNA and mRNA-like properties.
Source: RNAcentral
GGGGAUGUCAAGGUCUCGACAUGAUUGAUCGACUCUCAAAUGCAGUGGGGUUUGCCCCUUAUAGCUCCGAGGCUUGCCAAAUGCAGACUCAAGAGAAGAUAACGUUAACUUAGACGAAGCAUUCUUAGUUAAUCAAUUAUCAACACAAAACAAUCUUAACUACGCUUUUGUAGCAUAAGACUUUAGUGUCUCAGGGUAUUAAGGUUAGAUCACUUACCUUAAUACGUUAAAUAAGUGGUUAUAUUAAGUCAAUGCCUAUAGACUUAAUGAACUUAUAGGCUCAGUUACAUCUAGGUUGUUCUAAUACCUACUGGUUGUAAUGAAAUGCUAAAUUAGGACUAAACUGUAGAUUUUGUUAGAAAAUUAAUUGUGGAAAUGGGUUCGAUUCCCAUCAUCUCCACCA